GCUUGUCUCAAAGAUUAAGCCAUGCAUGUCUAAGUAUAAAUAAAUCAUACUGUGAAACUGCGAAUGGCUCAUUAUAUCAGUUAUAGUUUAUUUGAUAGUCCCUUACUACUUGGAUAACCGUAGUAACUCUAGAGCUAAUACAUGCGCAAAUUCCCGACUGCCGCAAGGCGGAAAGGAUGUAUUUAUUAGAUCCAACCAGCCCGGUUCGCCGGAGUCCCUGGUGAGUCAUAAUAACUGAGCGAAUCGCAUGGCCUUGCGCCGGCGAUGUUUCAUUCAAAUUUCUGCCCUAUCAAUUUGAUGGUAGGAUAGAGGCCUACCAUGGUGGUAACGGGUGACGGAGAAUUAGGGUUCGAUUCCGGAGAGGGAGCCUGAGAAACGGCUACCACAUCCAAGGAAGGCAGCAGG
This 405-nucleotide ribosomal RNA is filed under the name uncultured Bicosoecida. RNAcentral's name for it is "partial small subunit ribosomal RNA". It matches the Rfam family "Eukaryotic small subunit ribosomal RNA", at positions 30 to 432 of the family's 1831-position model. The record is from RNAcentral. Lineage: Eukaryota; Bigyra; Bicosoecida.